This 253-nucleotide ribosomal RNA is filed under the name uncultured bacterium. RNAcentral describes it as "partial 16S ribosomal RNA". It matches the Rfam family "Bacterial small subunit ribosomal RNA", at positions 524 to 776 of the family's 1533-position model. The record is from RNAcentral.
UACAGAGGGUGCGAGCGUUGUUCGGAAUUAUUGGGCGUAAAGGGCGCGUAGGCGGUGCGGUAAGUCACCUGUGAAAUCUCCUGGCUCAACUGGGAGCUUGCAGGCGAAACUGCCGUGCUGGAGUGUGGGAGAGGUGCGUGGAAUUCCUGGUGUAGCGGUGAAAUGCGUAGAUAUCAGGAGGAACACCGGUGGCGAAGGCGGGUCUCUGGGCCGACACUGACGCUGAGGAGCGAAAGCGCGGGGAGCAAACAGG